GGACCCGCACAAGCAGUGGAGCAUGUGGUUUAAUUCGAAGAUACGCGCAGAACCUUACCAACACUUGACAUGUUCGUCGCGAGACUAAGAGAUUAGUUUUUUCAGUUCGGCUGGACGAAACACAGGUGCUGCAUGGCUGUCGUCAGCUCGUGUCGUGAGAUGUUGGGUUAAGUCCCGCAACGAGCGCAACCCCCUACUUUUAGUUGCCACCAUUUAGUUGGGCACUUUAAAAGAACUGCCAGUGAUAAGCUGGAGGAAGGUGGGGAUGACGUCAAGUCCUCAUGGCCCUUACGUGUUGGGCUACACACGUGCUACAAUGGCACUUACAAUGGGAAGCAAAGAGGUGACUCCUAGCUAAUCCCAAAAAUGUGUCUCAGUUCGGAUUGCACUCUGCAACUCGAGUGCAUGAAGCUGGAAUUGCUAGUAAUCGC
This 431-nucleotide ribosomal RNA is filed under the name uncultured bacterium. Its description in RNAcentral is "bacterial SSU rRNA". It matches the Rfam family "Bacterial small subunit ribosomal RNA", at positions 917 to 1345 of the family's 1533-position model. The record is from RNAcentral.